This 163-nucleotide ribosomal RNA is filed under the name Tachia occidentalis. Its description in RNAcentral is "5.8S ribosomal RNA". It matches the Rfam family "5.8S ribosomal RNA". From Rfam's summary of the family: 5.8S ribosomal RNA (5.8S rRNA) is a component of the large subunit of the eukaryotic ribosome. Lineage: Eukaryota; Viridiplantae; Streptophyta; Magnoliopsida; Gentianales; Gentianaceae. The record is from RNAcentral.
AAAACGACUCUCGGCAACGGAUAUCUCGGCUCUCGCAUCGAUGAAGAACGUAGCGAACUGCGAUACUUGGUGUGAAUUGCAGAAUCCCGUGAANCAUCGAGUCUUUGAACGCAAGUUGCGCCCAAAGCCAUUAGGCCGAGGGCACGUCUGCCUGGGCGUCACG